This is a long non-coding RNA of Wyeomyia smithii (pitcher-plant mosquito), 454 nucleotides long. RefSeq lists it as uncharacterized. The record is from RefSeq and is a predicted model, not a curated record. The transcript has 2 exons. Lineage: Eukaryota; Metazoa; Arthropoda; Insecta; Diptera; Culicidae.
UGGGACAAUCGGACUCAAUCUGGGAUACGUUAUUCAACGUACGAGUUGCAUACCAACAAGGGUCGUGACAUUUAGAACACCUUUUGCGAGGAUUAUCUGAUGAAAACUAAAAAAUUUUAAUGCGUUCAAAAAGAUUGGUGCAAAUGGUUCAGCAGGUGGUCGGAAUUCUUCUAAAGAAUAUGGAGAAUUCGUACAAUGAAUACAAACUGCUUGGCGAAAAGCACGAAGAUGUCACGAGUGUCGUUCCGUGACUUAAGAUUAUAAAGGAAGUUGCGACGGUGAAAUCUCCGGCUCCGGAACUGGCUGUGAAGGUAUGGCUGGAACAUUUAACGUACCUGCGUAGACAUGCUUCCUUGCCUUAUGAGUAGGAAAAAAACAGCCCAAUACCGUGAAGUGUUUAUAUUUUAUUUAAAUUAUAUCGCUGACUCGUUAAUAAAUAAUGGUAUAAUUAUUA